RNAcentral lists this long non-coding RNA (948 nucleotides) under Mytilus galloprovincialis (Mediterranean mussel). Lineage: Eukaryota; Metazoa; Mollusca; Bivalvia; Mytilida; Mytilidae. The record is from RNAcentral.
GAUUAAUAUAAGUUGCAAACCUUGUUUCCCAAUCCACUAUAAAUAAAUAUGUUUAAACUAGUAUUCUAGGAGAGGGCGACGGAGGGCGUCAAAUCUUUUUCAGGAUAUUUUGACUCUUAACGUUGACAAGUUUUUCUCAAUUGUUAGCAAAACCGUUUCGUUAUAAAAUGCUGUAAAAGAGGGACGAAAGAUACCAGAGGAACAGUCAAACUCAUAAAUCGACAAUAAACUGACAACGCCAUGGCUAAAAAUGAAAAGGACACACAGACAAACAAUAGAACACAUAACACAACAUAGAAACUAGAGAAUAAACAACACGUAUAACGAUUUUCAACGGAGUACUAGUUGACCAACAGGACUGCAGUUUGAUACUUUGUGAUCCACCGCCAAAACUGUUAUUGACGUUACAUAUAAAAUAAGAAGAUGUGGUAUAAUUGUCUCCAGACAACUCUCCAUCAAAGGCCAAAUGACAUAAAAUUAAACAGCGGGUCACCGUACACCCUUUAACAAUACCUCAUAGUCAACUUUAAAAGACCCAGAAAUGACAAAUGUGAAACGUGCAAUUCAAACGAGAAAACCCCUGUGCCUCAAACAAUGUAAAAUAUAUAUGACUAAAAUACAAAUAUGAUAUAUACAGCAACAAACAACAACCAUCGAAUUACAGGAACAUACAUAAUGACUUCGGACAGACACAUACGCAAAAUGAGGCCAAAUAAAAAAGUAUGUGUGGUUCCAGUUACAUCUGAAAAAAAAGUUAGGGUAGGUAGGUAGGGAAUUUUUUUUAUUGUAUGUUUUUCUUUUACCUUGAGUCUAUGGGAGCAACAUUCUGAUUUUAACAGUGCUUAAUGAAAAAUGACAAUAAAAUCUUUAGGGUAGGCUAUUUUUAAGCCGAAAAAGUAGGGACGGUAGGGUUACUGGAAUCACACAUAUAUUUUUAUUUGGCCUGCG